AUUGAACGCUGGCGGCAGGCCUAACACAUGCAAGUCGAACGAGUGGCGGACGGGUGAGUAAUGUCUGGGAAACUGCCUGAUGGAGGGGGAUAACUACUGGAACCGGUAGCUAAUCCCGCAUACCAUCAGAUGUUCCCAGAUGGGAUUAGCUAGUAGGUGGGGUAAGGGCUCACCUAGGCGACGAUCCCUAGCUGGUCUGAGAGGAUGACCAGCAACAUGGGAACGGAGAAACGGUCAAGACUCCUACGGGAGGCAGCAGUGGGGAAUAUUGGACAAGGGGCGCAAGCCUGAUGAAGCCAGGCCGCGUGGGUGAAGAAGGCCUUGGGGUUGUAAAGCACGUUCAGCGAGGAGGCGUUACUCGAAGAAGAAGCACCGGCUAACUCCGUGCCAGCAGCCGCGGUAAUUC
RNAcentral lists this ribosomal RNA (406 nucleotides) under uncultured bacterium. Its description in RNAcentral is "partial 16S ribosomal RNA". It matches the Rfam family "Bacterial small subunit ribosomal RNA", at positions 29 to 526 of the family's 1533-position model. The record is from RNAcentral.